This 186-nucleotide ribosomal RNA is filed under the name uncultured bacterium. RNAcentral describes it as "partial 16S ribosomal RNA". It matches the Rfam family "Bacterial small subunit ribosomal RNA", at positions 1315 to 1500 of the family's 1533-position model. The record is from RNAcentral.
ACUACAUGAAGCUGGAAUCGCUAGUAAUCGCGAAUCAGCAUGUCGCGGUGAAUACGUUCCCGGGUCUUGUACACACCGCCCGUCACACCAUGGGAGUUGGUAACGCCCGAAGUCAGUGACCUAACCGCAAGGGAGGAGCUGCCGAAGGUGGGGCCAGUAACUGGGGUGAAGUCGUAACAAGGUAAC